Molecule: long non-coding RNA, 2380 nt
Organism: Larimichthys crocea (large yellow croaker)
Lineage: Eukaryota; Metazoa; Chordata; Actinopteri; Sciaenidae
Exons: 2
Source: RefSeq, a predicted model, not a curated record
GUAGUCGGAAGGAGUUGGACAGCAAUAACGCCUGUAAGAGAUACAAGCAGAUGAUUUAGACAUAGUGCCACAAUUUAAAAACAAAUCAAUGAUCGUUGCAGAUAAAAUAUAAAAGCAGAUCUGUAAGUGAAUACAUAAAAAAGAAAUCAGCAGGCAUGAUUUGUUUUGAGGUAAAUGUUCUUUAUUCUUCCUCGUCUCCUGAGGGUUCUUGUGCAGACACAAUAGAACAAAUAAAUUCAAUGUUCUCAAUUCAAACUUUGAGGGAGAAAAAUAAGACUUCAAGAAGACAGAAACUAGCUCGGACCAAUUAAAUCAAUACCUCAGCUUUACUGGACUUAAUGGGGACAUACAGAGAUGGUUAGGUAACUGGUCUGGAGCUUUUGUUAAGUAAUAAAAUCAAUGUUCGCAAGUUAUGCAACAUGCUAUUGAGGCCAUUCUCAGACACCAUUAGCCUUAACAUCCUGUUCUCUUACAUUGAUUCUCAGCAAAUUAUAAACAAGCCGACUUCCCAUCAUUAUUCCAGGCAGGAGGCAGACAUCCCCUGCAAAGAAUCCACUGGCAGAAGUAGAGCAACAAGUGAACGACUUUGAUACAACUUAAUUACUCUAGGCAAAAUUAUUCAGAUUUAUCUCUAUGCUUUUGGUUGUAACAUUAUGUCCCCAGAAUAUUUACUCCAGCUUGUAAGAUCUGAUUCAGUGUUUAGCAUUGUUGUCUGAGCCCAGCUGUUCUCGGUGUCACACAUUUACAACAGAAGUAGGACGUACUGUUAGGUGAACACACAGUGGUGAUGGCACACACUGAGUAUUUGGUAUCAUAUAAAGUUCUUUGGUUUGAUACACAUGCAAUUUACUCAGACCUUUAAGAUGCACUUCAGACAAAGUUGAGACAUGUUAAACGAACGCAAACAUUUCCCAUGUUUUUUAACUUGUAAUAGAAACAAAGCUCUGGGAAACAGUUGUUUUUGUGGCAGAAUUCAUCCCUUGAGACUCACAGAUGGAUUUCUGAAAAGGGCGCUGAUGCUGAAAGACUUAGUCGCAGGCCGAUUAAGGUGACCCCCUCAGCUCUACUCAGACUCCUGAGUGGAGGGAUAGUUAAUUGGCCCUGAUGGAAAGAGCGGCAAGAAAAUUGAGUUUGAUGGAAGAAAGAAGAAAUUGACGGUUGACCAAAAUGGAAUAAAUUAAGAGCAAGGGCUUAAGAGGUUUGAGGCUGCAGGCCUUGAUCAUCUGCAGAGUGCCAGAGGAGACAGGGAGGCAGGAAGGAGCUGACACGCACAGAGGCGUACAUGAAACGAGGAGAGCCAAACUUAAAGAGUUGUAAAUAAUGUAUGAAACAGUACAAUUAGAAAUUCAGGCACUGUGUCAAAAUCCACCGCUGGGAAUAACUGGGCUCUCGCUUCCUAAUUGGCAAAAAUAGAAUCUGGGUCUCAAUCCCUGGCUGUGUGUGUGUGCUGAGGAAAGGUGGAGGGACUCAGUGUGAUGCCAGCUUAUGGUGUUAGAUAAGAAGGUCUGAUUUCUGGUUUUAUUCGCAACAGAACUAAGGUACUGCCCAGAAACAGAAAUAAGUUGGGAAUCUCUCAAACAUUAAAGAACACAAAGCCCAAGUGUUAGUUAUGUUUUUAUCUGCAUACUCAUGCAUCAUGGUUUUGCUAAUCUAUAACAUCACCUUAAAUAUCACCAUAAACGAGCAUUUGUCUUUUGUUAAAUGUGGGUGAUGAUAAUAGAACCAAACAUACCACUUACAAGAGAUCGUCUUUAGCGGGCCAAAGUCCACCCACUUACCUUUUGGAAUGAGCCUUUAAAUACAUUUGAGAUGCUGCGUCUGCCACCAAGACGGUAAUUUCUUCUCCCAUCAGGGAAGUAAUCACAGCAUGUGCGACAGCUCUAAGUGCCACAACUGCAGCUGCGGAGUGACAAACAGCCACAAUCACUUAGUCAUGACUGCUCGUAGCAGAACAUGGUGAUUCAAUGCAAGGUUUUGUGAAACUGUAUCUGUCCCCCAUAAGUCGCACAAUAUUAGAGGCUAAAAAAGGCCGCAGAUUUAUAUUUAUCUUUAGAAAAUCCCUCACUAAUUCUCUCAAAAUGAUUUAGCUUUAAAUUGUGAUGAUGUGAUGGAAGUUUGAAAACUCAGGAAGGUGAAUAAAUGAGCUUACUAUAAGAAACUGUCAUGGCAUUAAAACAAGCCAGAUUUGAGGAUUAUCCAGUGGGAAACAUCCGGAUACGUUGAUAAGACGACAGCUCAACAACCAGUUUAUUAGAGACGAUCUUCAGUGUUAAAUCCUGAGUUCUCCUACCACGAUGCUCUUAAAGGUUGCAUCUGGCAGCCAACUGAAUCAUAGGUUACCUCAGCUUACCUUCCAAGCGUAUAGGUAGCCACAAAAAAA